GAGGUGGAGGCAGUUAAGACUUGCAGUGAUGUUUAGAGCAGUGCACACAUGAACAUCACUUUAAGUCUGGGCUGACUUUC
Molecule: microRNA precursor, 80 nt
Filed under: Astyanax mexicanus (Mexican tetra)
Lineage: Eukaryota; Metazoa; Chordata; Actinopteri; Characiformes; Acestrorhamphidae
Description: mir-499 microRNA precursor family
Rfam family: mir-499 microRNA precursor family
Source: Rfam by way of RNAcentral